RNAcentral lists this ribosomal RNA (254 nucleotides) under uncultured bacterium. Its description in RNAcentral is "partial 16S ribosomal RNA". It matches the Rfam family "Bacterial small subunit ribosomal RNA", at positions 524 to 776 of the family's 1533-position model. The record is from RNAcentral.
UACGAAGGGGGCUAGCGUUGCUCGGAAUCACUGGGCGUAAAGCGCACGUAGGCGGAUCUUUAAGUCAGGGGUGAAAUCCCGGAGCUCAACUCCGGAACUGCCUUUGAUACUGAGGGUCUUGAGUCCGGGAGAGGUGAGUGGAACUGCGAGUGUAGAGGUGAAAUUCGUAGAUAUUCGCAAGAACACCAGUGGCGAAGGCGGCUCACUGGCCCGGUACUGACGCUGAGGUGCGAAAGCGUGGGGAGCCAAACAGG